Molecule: ribosomal RNA, 1453 nt
Filed under: uncultured organism
Description: SSU rRNA
Rfam family: Bacterial small subunit ribosomal RNA
Source: RNAcentral
UUGACGAACGCUGGCGGCGUGCCUAAUACAUGCAAGUAGAACGCUGAAGAGAGGAGCUUGCUCUUCUUGGAUGAGUUGCGAACGGGUGAGUAACGCGUAGGUAACCUGCCUUGUAGCGGGGGAUAACUAUUGGAAACGAUAGCUAAUACCGCAUAACAAUGGAUGACACAUGUCAUUUAUUUGAAAGGGGCAAAUGCUCCACUACAAGAUGGACCUGCGUUGUAUUAGCUAGUAGGUGAGGUAACGGCUCACCUAGGCGACGAUACAUAGCCGACCUGAGAGGGUGAUCGGCCACACUGGGACUGAGACACGGCCCAGACUCCUACGGGAGGCAGCAGUAGGGAAUCUUCGGCAAUGGGGGCAACCCUGACCGAGCAACGCCGCGUGAGUGAAGAAGGUUUUCGGAUCGUAAAGCUCUGUUGUAAGUCAAGAACGAGUGUGAGAGUGGAAAGUUCACACUGUGACGGUAGCUUACCAGAAAGGGACGGCUAACUACGUGCCAGCAGCCGCGGUAAUACGUAGGUCCCGAGCGUUGUCCGGAUUUAUUGGGCGUAAAGCGAGCGCAGGCGGUUUGAUAAGUCUGAAGUUAAAGGCUGUGGCUCAACCAUAGUUCGCUUUGGAAACUGUCAAACUUGAGUGCAGAAGGGGAGAGUGGAAUUCCAUGUGUAGCGGUGAAAUGCGUAGAUAUAUGGAGGAACACCGGUGGCGAAAGCGGCUCUCUGGUCUGUAACUGACGCUGAGGCUCGAAAGCGUGGGGAGCGAACAGGAUUAGAUACCCUGGUAGUCCACGCCGUAAACGAUGAGUGCUAGGUGUUGGAUCCUUUCCGGGAUUCAGUGCCGCAGCUAACGCAUUAAGCACUCCGCCUGGGGAGUACGACCGCAAGGUUGAAACUCAAAGGAAUUGACGGGGGCCCGCACAAGCGGUGGAGCAUGUGGUUUAAUUCGAAGCAACGCGAAGAACCUUACCAGGUCUUGACAUCCCGAUGCUAUUUCUAGAGAUAGAAAGUUACUUCGGUACAUCGGUGACAGGUGGUGCAUGGUUGUCGUCAGCUCGUGUCGUGAGAUGUUGGGUUAAGUCCCGCAACGAGCGCAACCCCUAUUGUUAGUUGCCAUCAUUCAGUUGGGCACUCUAGCGAGACUGCCGGUAAUAAACCGGAGGAAGGUGGGGAUGACGUCAAAUCAUCAUGCCCCUUAUGACCUGGGCUACACACGUGCUACAAUGGUUGGUACAACGAGUUGCGAGUCGGUGACGGCAAGCUAAUCUCUUAAAGCCAAUCUCAGUUCGGAUUGUAGGCUGCAACUCGCCUACAUGAAGUCGGAAUCGCUAGUAAUCGCGGAUCAGCACGCCGCGGUGAAUACGUUCCCGGGCCUUGUACACACCGCCCGUCACACCACGAGAGUUUGUAACACCCGAAGUCGAAGAGGUAACCUUUUGGAGCCAGCCGCCUAAGGU